Molecule: long non-coding RNA, 4503 nt
Organism: Brassica napus (rape)
Lineage: Eukaryota; Viridiplantae; Streptophyta; Magnoliopsida; Brassicales; Brassicaceae
Exons: 10
Source: RefSeq, a predicted model, not a curated record
GAUGAUGACGUAAUUAAUGAAAUUUUUGUUCAAAGGAAAUUUUAUUCUGUUAAAUCAGCAGUUGGUGUGAAAAGCUCGGAAACAAGUCUCAAAGUUGAUGAUCGUAUAACUGACUUGCAAUGAUGAUUCGUAUUGACCCCUUAACUUACGUACUCGACCAGGACGUUCAUCCUAACUCUUUGACUAUACUCUUAUCAUCAUCCUUCUUCUUUUAAUAGAAAUCUAUUAAGGGCGUAUCAUAAUGGUGUCUACUUUCAAUUAAUUUGGCUGAGAGUCUACAUAGUUUACAUAUGUAACAAAGCGCAACAACAAUUCUAAAGAGAUUCAUUAGGUUGAUGAUAUUAUCAACGCUAGCAACAAUUCUCUAACUGUUAAUGAUCUGAAGAUUCAGCUACAGUCUCAUUUCAAGCUUCAUGCCUUAAGUUCUUUCAAAUACUUUUUUUUGUCUCAAAAUUGUUAGAACUUCUUAAAGAAUCUCUGUUUCUCAGCGCCUUUUUGUUUUUGUGAUUGAUAUAUACACAAGAAUAAUUCUUGUCGAUCGGCUUACUAGAAUCCUCUGUGCUCAAAUUAUCUCACCUUGCUUUCUCUCCAAGCUUUAAAGGGACGAGUUUCGUGUGAGGUUUUAUGAAGAGUUUCCUGACACGACAGGCGUGGGAGAUUGUGCGUUAGCUGCUGGAAAUGCGUGGAGGUCGAUGACUGAUUCUGAGAAUGCUCCUUAUUUCGCCAUGGCAGACAGAGGAGCCAUGUAUAGACCUCCUUGGGCAGGACCAUGCAACUGCAAUGGAGCUAUUAGUUUCGUUUUUGGCUAAAGAUGAAUCAGCAAUUAGCCAUUAGUUAUUGUAUGUAUGCCUUGAGAAUUAGCUCUGGAAACCCUUUAAGCUUUAACCUUCCUUUCUACUAUUUUGUGAUGAUAACUAUGUGUUUCUGCACGCUUUAAACUUCCGCCACCCGGGUUCGAUUCGCGCUGGGAGAGACUAUUUACAUCGCUUGGAUUCCCGGCAAAGAGAUGCAGAGCUGCAGGGAAGAAAAUUGAGGAGAAGAAGUUCACAUGUGAACCUGGUGGUAUUUUUUGCGCAGUAUGCAACUCUUAUUCUUGAGACGGCACACACAUUGAAGAUGGUGAUUUAACUACGCAUCUCACGAGUGAAACACAUGAACUGGAAAUGUUUGGGAACUCCUCUAAGAAUCUAUUUGAGCUCAACUUGAGUUUAGCGUACAAGUGGGGUGCUUACCGUAAUAUACCUUAAGAAAAAAUGAAUCACCUUUUGAGGAAUCACCCUUAGAAUCAACCAGAGGUUUCUUUUUCUUUUUUCCCCAAAAACAAUGAACCUUUGUUCCUAAAUUUUGAAUUUGAUUUUGGUUGGUGAAGAUGAAGAAAGAGGAAAAAUAAGAAGAGGAAGAUGAUUAAGUUGAAGACAACCGAAUGAGCCUCGCUUUGAGCUUCUUUUUAUUAUAUUUUUUUUAUCAUGUUUUUGCGCUACUUUGUGUUUUAUUAUAUGUUUGGUGGAAAUUAGUCCAAUACACUGGAUGUAAUACUGGAUUUUGUGUUCUUUCAUUUUGUUUAGUUUGAUUUUGUUCCUCAAGCUGUUUCUCCUGCCCAACCUCUCUCUAUUUUGUUGCUCAUCCAGCCUUCUCAAUGUUGGACCAACUCCAAAACCUCAUGAACUUGUCACAGUUUUACUCUGUCUGUCUUUUGCUCAAAUUUAGAAUGAAGUAAAAUAUAUUAAAAAUCAUUUUUAAUAUAGACAUGCAUUGUUUUUAGAGUGAGUAAAUCUACAGUUCUAGUUAAAAUUGUGUCUUGUUUGAUAACUAGCCACACCACAUGAGGUUUGGACAAAAUUGGUUUGUUUGAUAUCAAAAGACUACAUCUGCUCCACUUCCCGUUACUUCAUCUGAGGUCUAGUUUAGUGGUAUUCAGGGAGCCUCGUUGUGGAAGAAGUGCCCUCUUUGAUGAUAUUGAGGAGGGAGGAGCCAAAGCUGCUUAUUCUUACAGCUUUCAUGAAAUCAAUGCAAGACAUAGUUAAGCCUCCUCUUUCUGUUUUUUUUCAAAACGUGUGGUGUUUCUCUGUGAAUGAAAUGACCAGGCAUAAUGAGGAAACACUUCAUAUGUCCUUCAAUCAGAAAUAAAAAGCUAAAAUAUCCUUCUUCUAAACUGAAUUUUGUUUUUAUUUAUUUUUAAUUUUGAAAAUCAAUGAAUUACAUAUUUACCCCUAAACCUAAUCUUUCGUAUUUGUCAAACAUGUCUACUUUUCUUAUUUCUCAUUUCUUUCUUCUUCUUCCUUCUUUUUCUAUGCCGAAACUUCUCUUCCUUUUUUUUCUUCUCUUCAUUCUUCUUUGAUUUCUUCUUAAUCUAUGAUUUCUCUUUUCAUUUUCUUUCUUCAUGAUUAUCGAACAACACAAUUUCAGUAACCAAAUGACAAACAUUGGCGGCUUAAUCUGAAGUAACACAGUGAUAGCGCAUCAGUUGUCGAUGCGUGACAGAUCCGACAUAGAAUUAUGGGGUUUUAUUAAAUUUAGGAUUCGUCUUGUUCUUUUAUCUUUUAGUGUUUUGUAUUUACAUGUUUUUUCUUUGAUUUCAACUACCGAUCUAGAAUUAGGGCUACAUUUCUAUUCCUUAUCAAUUUUAGAUCUAUGAAUUAGGGUUGCGUUUUUAUUCCUUCUAAAUUUUAGAUCUAUGAAUUUUGUAUUUGAUAUAUCUUUAUAUUUGGUGGUUUUCUAUUUGGAUCUAUGAUUCUGGAUCUAUGGUCUUUUAUAUUUUUACCUGCAUAACUGAAAUGUAGUAGAUUUAGUAAAACUUGAGAUAAAUACUGAGACCUCAGUAAAACUAGUAGAACUCGGGAUAACCACAAUAUAACUAUUUUAGCAGAACUAGUAGAACUCAGAAGAACUACAUCAGUAGAACUCGGAAUAACUACGUCAAUAGAACUAGUAGAAUUCGAAAUAACUAUAUCAAUAGAACUAGUAAUAUACGGUACAACUAUCUCAGUAAAACUAGUAGAACCCAGUACAACUAACUCAGUAAAACUAGUAGAACUCGGUACAACUACCUAAGUAGAACUGAUAGAACUCAAUACAACUACCUCGGUAUAAUUAGCUGACCAAUUGUACGUCAGUAAUUAAAAUUUGAAAUUAAAAAAAUUGAAAUGAUCAAGGGCAUUGAGAUUACUGAAGGAUAUAGUGGAUUUAUUGUUUUGGUAAUGAGGAUAUAUGAGAUGAUGGCUCAGGCAUAAUAUGCCACAUCAACAGCCAUCUGAUUCGUCUAUAUAUGGUUUUGAUCCAGAAUCAGCUAUUGUUACAUUUUUCAAUGUAGUAGGGUAAUGAUAUGGAUUCAUCAAUGUAGGUAGGGUAAAAUCUCCCUUAGCCUUGCAGGUGUUUUGAGACAAAAAAACAAGCGGAAGAAUGCUGACACAUGAUCCCAAACCAUGAUAUUUUCAAUAUAUCUGUAUUGGCUCUUAUUUGAAGGCCAAAUAUUAGUAUUAAAGUUUCAUUUGAUGGAUUUUAGACUGCUUUUUACUCCUUCAAUGAAUAAAAUUAACUGAUGCUAUAUACAGGCAUCGAACCCGGGUACUUGUGCAUGUUUUCCAUUAGAAUUCUAACACAAUCUGAAACAGGGAUUUCGAACUCAUAUAAAAUUGCAUUGAAAAGAAAGCAAACGUAUAGUUUUAUAAUUAUGUAGCAAAUUGUAUUAAGUUUUCGAAACAAACAUGUAUUUUGUAUGCGUUGAACACAUGGAAACUGACAUAUCUCGACGACCCUACACAUGUAUUGCAGUAUCUAAUCCUGAGAAAACUACAAUUGGAGUUUUGAACUAAUUGUAAACACUAAAAACAUUUGCCCUUAGGCACAACCAGGGAGUAAAGAGAUUAUUGUCAGCACUCCAAAAGUAUCUAGUGCUGAGAUCAAAUCGGCUCUUCAUUAUCAAAAGAUUUAAGGUGGAUAAAACAACCGGAUCAAGUUUUUAUUUCAAGAAGAAGAAGAAGAAGGAGCUGGAAAUGUGAAAUCAGAAUCAGUUGAUGAAGCUUCCGAGUUCUCAGACCUGUCAGCAAGAUCAUCACGUACAACUGGCGCUGAAGUAACCAACGUUGAAGACAUAGAAGCAGAUCUCAAGAAGGACUUCAGUUGCGAGAAUUGGUCAGACAUAGAAAAUAAACAACCUGGAAACAAGACUUGGCAUCAGAAAAUGUACUGCAGUAUGGUUUUAUUUACUGUCUCUUUCUUUUUGUCAGCCUACACCCAUGAUUUUAUAUCAAUACAUCUUCCUCUAACGAGUAGAGACAUGUUCUAGUUAUCAAAACAUUUAAAUACUCAAAUAAGCUUGCAGGGACUGGUCUGGAAUACCUGAUUUGACUGUCCCAACUGUUUUUUUGGCAGUUCUUCCUCUGAGUUUACUUUGAUAAACAAGAGAAACUCUUUCCAAUUUCUUGUAGUCAGUUAUAGCACUGUAACCACGCCAGUAAGCCUGCAAGUUUCUUAACAGUUAUUAAUCAUUUCUAUUUUUUGAGA